UACGAAGGGGGCUAGCGUUGCUCGGAAUCACUGGGCGUAAAGCGCACGUAGGCGGCUUUCUAAGUCAGGGGUGAAAUCCUGGAGCUCAACUCCAGAACUGCCUUUGAUACUGGAAAGCUUGAGUUCGGGAGAGGUGAGUGGAACUGCGAGUGUAGAGGUGAAAUUCGUAGAUAUUCGCAAGAACACCAGUGGCGAAGGCGGCUCACUGGCCCGACACUGACGCUGAGGUGCGAAAGCGUGGGGAGCAAACAGG
This 253-nucleotide ribosomal RNA is filed under the name uncultured bacterium. Its description in RNAcentral is "partial 16S ribosomal RNA". It matches the Rfam family "Bacterial small subunit ribosomal RNA", at positions 524 to 776 of the family's 1533-position model. The record is from RNAcentral.